Molecule: ribosomal RNA, 298 nt
Filed under: uncultured bacterium
Lineage: Bacteria
Description: partial 16S ribosomal RNA
Rfam family: Bacterial small subunit ribosomal RNA
Source: RNAcentral
GAUUAACGCUGGCGGUGCGCCUAAUACAUGCAAGUCGUGCGAGAUCAUAGAUCUAGUUUACUAAGUCUAUGUGAAAGCGGCGAACGGGUGAGUAAUACAUUGGCAUCUGCCCCUAACUCAGGGAUAACACAUCGAAAGGUGUGCUAAUACCUGAUAGUCCCGCAAGGGUAAAGCUACGGCGGUUAGGGAGGAGCCUGUGUCCUAUCAGGUUGUUGGUGAGGUAAUGGCUCACCAAGCCUAUGACGGGUAGUUGGUCUGAGAGGAUGAUCAGCCACAAUGGGACUGAGACACGGCCCAU